UGCCAAAUCCUUCUCUAGGGAUCCUUC
RNAcentral lists this non-coding RNA (27 nucleotides) under Rattus norvegicus (Norway rat). Lineage: Eukaryota; Metazoa; Chordata; Mammalia; Rodentia; Muridae. The record is from RNAcentral.